Molecule: long non-coding RNA, 624 nt
Organism: Bradysia coprophila
Lineage: Eukaryota; Metazoa; Arthropoda; Insecta; Diptera; Sciaridae
Source: RefSeq, a predicted model, not a curated record
CUAAAAAAUGUGCUUUAUGCUCAUAAGCCGCGCAGAUGAAAAACAAAAUCAUAAUCGACCAUUCAAUCAUAUAUCAGUCUUCUUUCUCUCUAUCUCAAAUCCUAAUCUACCAAUUUAUAGUUUUAGUGAUUUUUUGUGUGUUUUGUUAUUAUCGCAGCAAAUUAGUUCUCGCUGAAAUGGGUGCUUCUGCUCCAGUAAAUAAACAGCCAUGUCUUGAAUAUACCGAUAAAUACAACAGCAUGCACAUGAAACUAAUCCAACUGUGGCUGACAAGUUUCGCCAUCGGCAUACCUUCACUGAGACUACUGUUCUUCUUUGAUUUUCGGCAUUACGAAGUAAUAAUUGCUGCAUUCUUUACCAUGUUGAUAUUCGGAACUAUGUACAUACUCGAUGAGAACGACCGUUUACGGAGAACCAAUGACGGUGUUGAACCUUGUAACGAAGUAAUUGUACCAGAUGGUGAACGUUUGAAUUCUGUUAAUAGUUCAUCGAAUCAUCAAAAUAAAUCGUCUGAGACAGCCACUGGUGCUCGGGUAGAACUUCUUACUCCGAUGACGGAAGCAAAUUAGCCGCAAAGCAGUAGGUCGACCGUUAGUUUAACUUUAAUUUAUUACCGCCAAAUAA